RNAcentral lists this ribosomal RNA (804 nucleotides) under uncultured bacterium. RNAcentral describes it as "bacterial SSU rRNA". It matches the Rfam family "Bacterial small subunit ribosomal RNA", at positions 8 to 812 of the family's 1533-position model. The record is from RNAcentral.
AGAGUUUGAUCCUGGCUCAGGAUGAACGCUGGCGGCGUGCCUAACACAUGCAAGUCGAACGAAGCACUUAAGACGGACCCUUCGGGGUAAGGUUUAAGUGACUGAGUGGCGGACGGGUGAGUAACGCGUGGGCAACCUGCCCUGUACAGGGGGAUAACAGUUGGAAACGGCUGCUAAUACCGCAUAAGCGCACAGUGGGACAUCCCACAGUGUGAAAAACUCCGGUGGUACAGGAUGGGCCCGCGUCUGAUUAGCUAGUUGGCAGCGUAACGUCCUACCAAGGCAACGAUCAGUAGCCGGUGUGAGAGGAUGAACGGCCACAUUGGAACUGAGACACGGUCCAAACUCCUACGGGAGGCAGCAGUGGGGAAUAUUGCACAAUGGGGGAAACCCUGAUGCAGCAACGCCGCGUGAGUGAAGAAGUAUUUCGGUAUGUAAAGCUCUAUCAGCAGGGAAGAUAAUGACGGUACCUGACUAAGAAGCUCCGGCUAAAUACGUGCCAGCAGCCGCGGUAAUACGUAUGGAGCAAGCGUUAUCCGGAUUUACUGGGUGUAAAGGGUGUGUAGGCGGCAAGGCAAGUCAGAUGUGAAAGACCGGGGCUCAACUCCGGGGCUGCAUUUGAAACUGUUUUGCUGGAGUCCAGGAGAGGCAGGCGGAAUUCCUAGUGUAGCGGUGAAAUGCGUAGAUAUUAGGAGGAACACCAGUGGUGAAGGCGGCCUGCUGGACUGGUACUGACGUUGAGGCACGAAAGCGUGGGGAGCAAACAGGAUUAGAUACCCUGGUAGUCCACGCUGUAAACGAUGA